This 438-nucleotide ribosomal RNA is filed under the name Enterococcus durans. RNAcentral's name for it is "bacterial SSU rRNA". It matches the Rfam family "Bacterial small subunit ribosomal RNA", at positions 37 to 454 of the family's 1533-position model. Lineage: Bacteria; Bacillati; Bacillota; Bacilli; Lactobacillales; Enterococcaceae. The record is from RNAcentral.
GAUUUCCGGGGGCCUAUAAUGCAGUCGUACGCUUCUUUUUCCACCGGAGCUUGCUCCACCGGAAAAAGAAGAGUGGCGAACGGGUGAGUAACACGUGGGUAACCUGCCCAUCCCAAGGGGAUAACACUUGGAAACAGGUGCUAAUACCGUAUAACAAUCGAAACCGCAUGGUUUUGAUUUGAAAGGCGCUUUCGGGUGUCGCUGAUGGAUGGACCCGCGGUGCAUUAGCUAGUUGGUGAGGUAACGGCUCACCAAGGCCACGAUGCAUAGCCGACCUGAGAGGGUGAUCGGCCACAUUGGGACUGAGACACGGCCCAAACUCCUACGGGAGGCAGCAGUAGGGAAUCUUCGGCAAUGGACGAAAGUCUUACCGAGCAACGCCGCGUGAGUGAAGAAGGUUUUCGGAUCGUAAAACUCUGUUGUUAGAGAAGAACAUGC